CCCUUAGAUGUCCUGGGCCGCACGCGUGCUACACUGACGCCUACAGCGAGUACUUCCCAGCCCCGAGAGGUGGCUGGUAAUCAGCAAUAGGCGUCGUGAUGGGGAUAGAUCUUUGGAAUUAUGGAUCUUGAACGAGGAAUGCCUAGUAAGCGCAGGUCAUUAGCCUGCGCUGAUUAAGUCCCUGCCCUUUGUACACACCGCCCGUCGCUACUACCGAUUUCGAGUGGUCCGGUGAAUCUUUCGGACUGCGCGCGGCCUCGUGCCGUGUCGCGGAAAGUCAGGUAAACCUUAUCACUUAGAGGAAGGAGAAGUCGUAACA
RNAcentral lists this ribosomal RNA (319 nucleotides) under uncultured eukaryote. RNAcentral's name for it is "partial 18S ribosomal RNA". It matches the Rfam family "Eukaryotic small subunit ribosomal RNA", at positions 1470 to 1796 of the family's 1831-position model. The record is from RNAcentral.